This 505-nucleotide ribosomal RNA is filed under the name uncultured bacterium. Its description in RNAcentral is "partial 16S ribosomal RNA". It matches the Rfam family "Bacterial small subunit ribosomal RNA", at positions 29 to 523 of the family's 1533-position model. The record is from RNAcentral.
AGUGAACGCUGGCGGUAGGCCUAACACAUGCAAGUCGAACGGCAGCACAGAGGAGCUUGCUCCUUGGGUGGCGAGUGGCGGACGGGUGAGGAAUACAUCGGAAUCUACUCUGCCGUGGGGGAUAACGUAGGGAAACUUACGCUAAUACCGCAUACGACCUACGGGUGAAAGCAGGGGAUCUUCGGACCUUGCGCGAUUGAAUGAGCCGAUGUCGGAUUAGCUAGUUGGCGGGGUAAAGGCCCACCAAGGCGACGAUCCGUAGCUGUCGGAGAGGAUGAUCCGCCACACUGGAACUGAGACACGGUCCAGACUCCUACGGGAGGCAGCAGUGGGGAAUAUUGGACAAUGGGCGCAAGCCUGAUCCAGCCAUACCGCGUGGGUGAAGAAGGCCUUCGGGUUGUAAAGCCCUUUUGUUGGGAAAGAAAUCCAUCUGGUUAAUACCCGGGUGGGAUGACGGUACCCAAAGAAUAAGCACCGGCUAACUUCGUGACAGCCGCCGCCGUAA